CGCCCAAAUGAAAAACACAUGCUAUUUCCCCUCUGCCUGAGCAAUUUGGCAUUCCGUGUACAAGUUCCCAGGAGAGGGGCUGGGCCUCUCCAGGCAGGAACUGGAGCCAGAGGCUUCCCCUGCUACUCGCUGGGAUAGAAGAACAUCAGGAAUGACUUUCAGUGCAGUAGUUCCUGUGGUGCUCACAGAAGCCACGCGGCUUGGGUGCAAUCAAACUGCGGCCCAGCCUCAUCGUGGCAGGAAUCCAGAUGCAGGCCAAGUACAGCAGCACAAGGGACAUGCUGGAUGACGAUGGGGACACCGUCGUGAGUGUGCAUUCUCGAGCCUCGUCUCCAAGCCAGCAGCCAGAGGCUGGACGCAAAGGGCACCGGCCUCCCUCUUCAGUUUGGCGACCAGUGGCCCUGACCUUGCUGACUCUGUGUUUGGUGCUGCUGCUUGGCCUGUUGGCCCUGGGGCUUGUGUUUUUCCAGUUCUACCAGCUUUCCAACACUCAGCAAGACAGCAUUUCUAACAAGGAAGAAAGAUUGGCGAAUCUCUCCCGACAGCUGCAGUCUCUCCAGACAAAGAACAGGAAGCUUGCAGAAAUUCUGCAGCGCGUGGCUGAAAAACUGUGUCGUGAGCUGUAUAACAAAACUGGAGAACACAGAUGCAGCCCUUGUCCAGAAAAAUGGAAAUGGCAUGGGGACAAAUGCUACCGAUUCUGUAGCGACAGCAAGAGUUGGCAAGGCUGUGAAUAUUUCUGCAUUGCAGAGAACGCCACCAUGCUGAAGAUAAGCACGCAGGAAGUGCUGGAGUUUGCCAUGCCUCAGAGCUACUCUGAGUUUUUCUACUCUUAUUGGACAGGGCUAUCCCGCAAUGGCAGCAGACAGGCGUGGCUAUGGACCGAUGGAACCCCGUAUUCCUCUGAACUGUUUGAGAUUAUAAUAGAUUUCACCAGCCUAAGAAGCAGGGACUGUGUGACCAUCCUCAAUGGGAAGGCUUUCUCAAAGGACUGCAAAGAGUUGAGGCGGUGUGCGUGUGAAAGAAGGGCUGCAGCAGUGAAGCUUGAGAGCCUCCAUUAGCCUCUCUGAGCCAUUACGUGGAGGUGAUUGACUCUUCCGCCAUAAAGGUGAUGUCAAGCUCCCUUCAGGGAAAUUGAAGAUCAGAACAAAAGUCAAUUUCUUUAUGGGCACCUGUAAUAAUUUGGUUUCAGUUCCUUUUUUUCUCCUAUUGGAGCCAUGUUUGUACAACAAAGCAGCAAAAUGAUUUGAGCCAAGCAAGGUCAUUGCAAAGGAUAUUUGAGACAUUGGGAAAUGGGAAAAAAGGAGGAAAGGCAGUUUCUCUGACAGGUACAAGAAGCACUUGCCUGUUUCCUGCUCAAGAUCGCCAGCAUUUCUGAGCUUGGGUUCAUGCAAAUGUUUAUCAGCCACAAAGAAGUCCUAUCUGCAUACCACCCACCAGUCGCAGACUUUCGUAAAGUUGUAAUCUACCUUCUUGACCUAGAGAUGCUUUCCAGCGUUCUUCCUUCUCAUCAUCUAAUAUCAUCUGCCUUUUUCCAUGUCUUCCUUAAUAUUUGGAGAAGUGAGAAACUUACUGAAGUAGAGGAAAUAAAGAUUACAAGAUACUUUCAUAUCUUGUGUCUUGGCAACAAGCUGAUCUAUGUACAAGGAGCCUGCAGACCUAGGAUUCAGAUUGUCUAUAGAUUUAUUUGAAGAGAGUCAUUAACUUUAAAACAGAUAUUUUGUCUAGACAGUUCCUGACAUUUAUAUAUAAACUUUAGCUUCUCGAUAUUCCUGUAACCCGCACAGGAAAAAGGGUCAUGUUUAUCUAGACUACAUUAAUAAAGUUGAUGCCUACAGAUGACUAGUAAUUUACUCCAGAUAAUAAUAAUGAGCACUGAUAUAGUGUCAAACUCUAGGAAAGGCAAUAGUUUCAGCAAUUAACAUACAUUAAUAAUUUAAUUCUCAAAUAAUAUUUUGAAAUAAGUCCUAUUACUACUUUACAAUGAAGAAAUUGAGGCACAGAGAGAUGCAGUUACAGUGGAAUGUUACUUCUCCAAAAAAGACAUCCAGAUGGCCAGCAGACAUGAAAAGAUGCUCAACAUCACUCGUCAUCAUGGAAAUGCAAAUCAAAACUGCCAUGAGAUGUCAUCUUACACCUAUCAGAAUGGCUUAAAUCAAAAGCACAAGAAACAAUAAAUGUUGGCAAGGAUAUGGAACAAAAGGAACCUUCUUGCACUGUUGGUGGGAAUGCACACUGGUGCAGCCACUUUGGAAAACAGUAUGGAGGUUCCUCAAAAAGUUAAAAAUAGAACUAGCCUAUGAUCCAGUAAUCAUGCUACUAGGUAUUUACCCCCAAAAUACAAAACACUAAUUCAAAGGGUUACAUGCACCCCUAUGCUUAUAGCAGCGUUAUUUAUAAUAGAUGAGAUAUGGAAGCAGCCCAAGUGUCCAUCGAUUAAUGAAUGGAUAAAGAUGUGGUACACACACACACACACGCACACACAAUGGAAUAUUAUUCAGCCAUUAAAAGGAAUGAAAUCUUGUCAUUUGCAAUGACAUGGAUGGAGCUAGAGAGUAUAAUGCUAAGUGAAAUAAGAAAGUCAGAGCAAGACAAAUACUAUAUAAUUUCACUUAUAUAUGGAAUUUAAGAAACAAAGCAAGUGAGCAAAGGGGGAAAAAAAGAGACAAGCCAAGAAACAGACUCUUAACUACUGACAGGAGACUGAUGGUUACCAGAGGGGAAGUGGGGGGGGGGGGGCGUUAAAUAGAUGAUGCGGAUUAAGGAAUGCACUUAUCAUGAUGAACACAGGGUGACGUAUGGAAUUGGUGAAUCACGACAUUGUACCCCGGAAAUUAAUACUACAGUGUAUGUUAACUACACCGGAAUUGAAAUUUUAAAAAUAAAAAAAAAAAUGCUGGAGUGUUAACCUUGAGAGUCCCAGCCUGAGUCCUUUGAUUUGUGAGUACUAGAGACAGUCAGAGAGAGGAAAGAAGGAAGUUCACAGCUGUCCUUUACUGGAGAUGCACUGGUACUGACGGCCUAACUACUCCUUCUACUUAUAUAAAGUGCUUGGAAUGCAAGUGUCCAGUAGAAUUCUGCAAUCCUAAAAGGUUAUUGUCUUACAGGCAGCAGAUAGCUGUCUGUCUUCUUUCUAAUAUGAAAAUCCAUAUCUCUGUCCUACUCUCCUGCAGAUUCAAUAGUGGAAUGCCUGGAAGCCUAGAAAACAUGCAAAGAAAGAUCUGGCAGGCAGAGAUUUUAAAAGCCUACAUUUAUUUAUUUAUAUAUAUAAAAAAAUUAGCCAGCUAGAAAGGCAUCAUCCCCCACCAAGGGCUUA
Acinonyx jubatus (cheetah) is the source of this 3316-nucleotide RNA transcript. It is a transcript of the gene named C-type lectin domain family 1 member A, with no coding region annotated. The transcript is spliced from 7 exons. NCBI's taxonomy places the organism in Eukaryota, Metazoa, Chordata, Mammalia, Carnivora, Felidae. The record is from RefSeq and is a predicted model, not a curated record.